UGAUAUUGCAAUAAACAAGCCAUUCAAGGACCAUUUGCACAUGGAAAUCAAUGACUGCAUUCAAAAUAGAAUGGAGAGAAAUCAGUGUGGAAACUUUGUGAAGCCUAGCAUGUAGGAGGUCAUGAUUUUGGUGAAGAAUUCAUGGAAUAAAAUUACUUCACAGCUGUGUUGUUAAUGUACUACAACCAGGCUACAUGGACAAGAUGUGCUCAUUUAAAGAGAGCUCUAUUGCUGGACAUGCAAGAUUGGGGCCAAUGGUUCUACAGGAAAUGGAAUUUCAAGACAUUCAGGCUGGAAUUCAGAGUCUGUAGAGUUAUGAUGAUGAUGAUCCAGAAGAUGACAUGACUGUAUUUGAAUAAAAAUAGAUUUUUUGUACAUGAAAAAUAAGAUCUCCUGAAAAAUUAUCGGUAAUACGUCUUUUGGAGCAAAAAUUAAUAUAAUACCCAGUCUUAUUUUUG
RNAcentral lists this long non-coding RNA (458 nucleotides) under Androctonus crassicauda. The record is from RNAcentral. Lineage: Eukaryota; Metazoa; Arthropoda; Arachnida; Scorpiones; Buthidae.